UCUUCACACACGUCGUCUGCGAGAAAAUUUUGAUGGUGACAGAAUUUACGGAAAAUUUGAAUCGGAGAUAUGGAGACCAGCAGCGUGGCAGCAGGAGCAAAUUUUGGCCGUGAUGAGGCGUAUACCACCAUCAACAAUGCUGCAAUUGCAGUCACUACCACCACUGCUGCCACCACUAUCAGUGCUGCUGAUGCCACCACCACCAAGUCUGCUUCUGCCACUGCCAUCACCAUUGCCACCGCCACUACCAAGACCACUCCUGACACAAAGCCCCCAAGUCCUCAACUGACCAGAUAUUGCAGCUGGAGAAGGAUAGACCAGGAACUUCAAAGCCAGGGCUUGUUGGUCUCCUACAAUAAGAAAAAUGCCAAGGGCCCAUCUAAUGAACUUGUAGAAUAUUUGGCCACAGUUGUAGAAAUGCAGAGACUAACAUACUGCCACAGGUGAGGCUUUGUCCGCAGUUCCGGAAAGACAAGCCAUGCCAAAAUCAACGACUGAAGGGUUUGGAGCGCCAGACAAAGAGCCUAGAAAUGUGAUUUAACCGUACUUCAAUCACAUGAACAGUAGCAGGAGCAAAAACAGCAGCAAACACACAGGAGAUGUAACGACUACAUUGACCAAUACCAACAACUACAGCAGCAUCAACAAUAUCUGCAAAAACCACACUGGCAACCUCAACAACAUCAAGAUGUUCAACAACCACUCCGGGAAUUCAACAAACACAUCAGCAGAAA
RNAcentral lists this unclassified non-coding RNA (734 nucleotides) under Lytechinus variegatus (green sea urchin). RNAcentral's name for it is "uncharacterized LOC121408032, transcript variant X2". Lineage: Eukaryota; Metazoa; Echinodermata; Echinoidea; Temnopleuroida; Toxopneustidae. The record is from RNAcentral.